RNAcentral lists this ribosomal RNA (468 nucleotides) under uncultured bacterium. RNAcentral describes it as "partial 16S ribosomal RNA". It matches the Rfam family "Bacterial small subunit ribosomal RNA", at positions 28 to 507 of the family's 1533-position model. The record is from RNAcentral.
GACGAACGCUGGCGGCGUGCUUAACACAUGCAAGUCGAACGGAAAGGCCCUGCUUUUGUGGGGUGCUCGAGUGGCGAACGGGUGAGUAACACGUGAGUAACCUGCCCUUGACUUUGGGAUAACUUCAGGAAACUGGGGCUAAUACCGGAUAGGAGCUCCUGCUGCAUGGUGGGGGUUGGAAAGUUUCGGCGGUUGGGGAUGGACUCGCGGCUUAUCAGCUUGUUGGUGGGGUAGUGGCUUACCAAGGCUUUGACGGGUAGCCGGCCUGAGAGGGUGACCGGCCACAUUGGGACUGAGAGACGGCCCAGACUCCUACGGGAGGCAGCAGUGGGGAGUAUUGCACAAUGGGCGGAAGCCUGAUGCAGCGACGCCGCGUGCGGAAUGACGGCCUUCGGGUUGUAAACCGCUUUCGCCUGUGACGAAGCGUGAGUGACGGUAAUGAGUAAAGAAGCACCGGCUAACUACGUG